CUGGCUCAGGAUGAACGCUAGCUACAGGCUUAACACAUGCAAGUCGAGGGGCAGCAUGGGGUAGCAAUACUCAGAUGGCGACCGGCGCACGGGUGAGUAACACGUAUCCAACCUGCCGCUUACUCGGGGAUAGCCUUUCGAAAGAAAGAUUAAUACCCGAUGGUAUAAAGAGUUCGCAUGUUCUCUUUAUUAAAGAAUUUCGGUAAGCGAUGGGGAUGCGUUCCAUUAGAUAGUUGGCGGGGUAACGGCCCACCAAGUCUACGAUGGAUAGGGGUUCUGAGAGGAAGGUCCCCCACAUUGGAACUGAGACACGGUCCAAACUCCUACGGGAGGCAGCAGUGAGGAAUAUUGGUCAAUGGACGAGAGUCUGAACCAGCCAAGUAGCGUGAAGGAUGACUGCCCUAUGGGUUGUAAACUUCUUUUAUAAGGGAAUAAAGUGAGGGACGUGUCCCUUUUUGUAUGUACCUUAUGAAUAAGGAUCGGCUAACUCCGUGCCAGCAGCCGC
RNAcentral lists this ribosomal RNA (505 nucleotides) under uncultured bacterium. RNAcentral describes it as "bacterial SSU rRNA". It matches the Rfam family "Bacterial small subunit ribosomal RNA", at positions 19 to 518 of the family's 1533-position model. The record is from RNAcentral.